This 279-nucleotide ribosomal RNA is filed under the name uncultured bacterium. RNAcentral's name for it is "partial 16S ribosomal RNA". It matches the Rfam family "Bacterial small subunit ribosomal RNA", at positions 506 to 784 of the family's 1533-position model. The record is from RNAcentral.
UGCCAGCCGCCGCGGUAAUACGAAUGGAUCACGCGUUGUUCGGAAUCACUGGGCUUAAAGCGUAUGUAGGCGGACCAGAAAGUCAGGAGUGAAAGCCUGGGGCUCAACCCCAGAACUGCUCUUGAAACUUCUGGUCUAGAAUACUGGAGAGGUUGGGAGAAUUCCGAGUGUAGAGGUGAAAUUCGCAGAUAUUCGGAGGAAUACCAGUGGCGUAGGCGCCCAACUGGACAGUUAUUGACGCUCAGAUACGAAAGCGUGGGUAGCGAACAGGAUUAGAUA